Molecule: long non-coding RNA, 1007 nt
Filed under: Linum usitatissimum (flax)
Lineage: Eukaryota; Viridiplantae; Streptophyta; Magnoliopsida; Malpighiales; Linaceae
Description: long non-coding RNA (LUSI_LNC005471)
Source: RNAcentral
UCAAGAUUAACAACCUAUAUAUACCCUCACAGUCACGAUGUUUAGAUAUGCGGUAGGCUAGAUUAAACUAGUGAGUACUUAAGAAAUCAAGACCAUUGGAUAUAUAUAACCCGAAUGGUGAUAAUUCAUACUAAUUUAUGUAUUCGAAAUAAUGGUACGUAUUGAACAAAAGUGGUAAACGUAUUUGACACUAAAGGGUGUGCAUUGAACCCAAACCAUACGAAUUUGAGAUGAUGAUACCACGAUCAUUAUUAUUUCUCAUAAAUAAUAACCUAUAAUGUCAAGUUUUUGAUAUCAUAAUUGUUAUUAUUUCUCACAAACAACAUGAUUUAUCCAAUCAAAACCGAUAGACUAUGAGUAUCACAAAUACGAAUAAAAUAGUAACACAUGGACGAGUUCACGACACCACAAUCAUUAUUUCUCGCCAAAUACUAACAUAUAAUGUCUAGCUUACGAUUCACGGUCAUUCCUAUUUCUCAUAAAUAACGAGAUCCAAUUGAUCAAACGAAGCAUUACAAACAUGAACAUAGACUUGUUGAUCAAGCAAUCAAUCAAAUGCAAUACCUUACCUCUCUUUCAAGAGCUUCCCUCUUCUCUUGCCCUAUCACCUUCUUCUUCCUCUGCCCAAGAAAACCUUAAAGCUUAGGAACCCAAAUUACGCAAACCACAUUACCCAACAAUGAAAGCUGAAAAUCCAACUUACAGAAUCAGAAUUAGGCAAUAGUAAGUUGCCAUGGUGAUGCUGAUGAUGAAGGCUAGCCAUUGAAGAAGGAAAGAAGAACCCUUCAAAGUACCCAUAAGCUUAAUUCUUUCUUUGAACUUUGUAUAUGUAGAUGAAGCAAUUGGGUGGGAGUUUGGCUUGAAUCCAAAGGGAAGGAGAAAAAGAGAGAAAUGGUUGGUGAUGUGUAGAUGUAAUGGAAGUUGGGUUGGUGGGGGAAAUUGGAUUUGUAAGGAAACCCUCAUCCCAAAAGGGUGAAUGUCUUAGGAAUUUUGUGGAUGGAGGGGAG